GACGAACGCUGGCGGCGUGCUUAACACAUGCCAGUCGAACGGAAAGGCCCUGCUUUUGUGGGGUGCUCGAGUGGCGAACGGGUGAGUAACACGUGAGUAACCUGCCCUUGACUUUGGGAUAACUUCAGGAAACUGGGGCUAAUACCGGAUAGGAGCUCCUGCUGCAUGGUGGGGGUUGGAAAGUUUCGGCGGUUGGGGAUGGACUCGCGGCUUAUCAGCUUGUUGGUGGGGUAGUGGCUUACCAAGGCUUUGACGGGUAGCCGGCCUGAGAGGGUGACCGGCCACAUUGGGACUGAGAUACGGCCCAGACUCCUACGGGAGGCAGCAGUGGGGAAGAUUGCACAAUGGGCGGAAGCCUGAUGCAGCAACGCCGCGUGCGGGAGGACGGCCUUCGGGUUGUAAACCGCUUUCGCCUGUGACGAAGCGUGAGGGACGGUAAUGGGUAAAGAAGCACCGGCUAACUACGU
This 467-nucleotide ribosomal RNA is filed under the name uncultured bacterium. Its description in RNAcentral is "partial 16S ribosomal RNA". It matches the Rfam family "Bacterial small subunit ribosomal RNA", at positions 28 to 506 of the family's 1533-position model. The record is from RNAcentral.